GAUGAACGCUAGCUACAGGCUUAACACAUGCAAGUCGAGGGGCAGCAUUUUAGUUGCUUGCAAACUAAAGAUGGCGACCGGCGCACGGGUGAGUAACACGUAUCCAACCUGCCGAUAACUCGGGGAUAGCCUUUCGAAAGAAAGAUUAAUAUCCGAUAGUAUAUUAAAACCGCAUGGUUUUACUAUUAAAGAAUUUCGGUUAUCGAUGGGGAUGCGUUCCAUUAGUUUGUUGGCGGGGUAGCGGCCCACCAAGACUACGAUGGAUAGGGGUUCUGAGAGGAAGGUCCCCCACAUUGGAACUGAGACACGGUCCAAACUCCUACGGGAGGCAGCAGUGAGGAAUAUUGGUCAAUGGACGAGAGUCUGAACCAGCCAAGUAGCGUGAAGGAUGACUGCCCUAUGGGUUGUAAACUUCUUUUAUAUGGGAAUAAAGUAUUCCACGUGUGGGAUUUUGUAUGUACCAUAUGAAUAAGGAUCGGCUAACUCCGUG
RNAcentral lists this ribosomal RNA (490 nucleotides) under uncultured bacterium. RNAcentral's name for it is "bacterial SSU rRNA". It matches the Rfam family "Bacterial small subunit ribosomal RNA", at positions 28 to 507 of the family's 1533-position model. The record is from RNAcentral.